Molecule: long non-coding RNA, 255 nt
Filed under: Mytilus galloprovincialis (Mediterranean mussel)
Lineage: Eukaryota; Metazoa; Mollusca; Bivalvia; Mytilida; Mytilidae
Source: RNAcentral
GUAGAGGGGCAUUAUGUUUUCUGGUCUGUGCCUCCGUUCGUCUGUGCGUCCGUCCGUCCGUUCGUCCCACUUCAGGUUAAAGUUUUUGGUCAAGGUAGUUUUUGAUGAAGCUGAAGUCCAAUCAACUUGAAACUUAGUACACAUGUUCCUUAUGAUAUGAUCUUUCUUAUUUUAAAACAAAAUUAAACUUUUGACCCCAUUUUCAUGGUCCACUGAACAUAGAAAUUAAAAGUGCGAGUUUCAGGUUAAAGUUUU